UACGUAGGGGGCAAGCGUUGUCCGGAUUUAUUGGGCGUAAAGCGCACGCAGGCGGUCUCAUACAUCUUGGGUGACAGGUCCUGGCUUAACUGGGACAGUACUGGGGAAAUGGUGAGACUUGAGGGCUUCAGAGGGACGCGGAAUUCCAGGUGGAGCGGUGAAAUGCGUAGAGAUCUGGAAGAACACCGAAGGCGAAGGCAGCGUCCUGGGAAGUCACUGACGCUCAGGUGCGAAAGCUAGGGGAGCGAACGGG
RNAcentral lists this ribosomal RNA (253 nucleotides) under uncultured bacterium. Its description in RNAcentral is "partial 16S ribosomal RNA". It matches the Rfam family "Bacterial small subunit ribosomal RNA", at positions 524 to 776 of the family's 1533-position model. The record is from RNAcentral.